This 375-nucleotide long non-coding RNA is filed under the name Manihot esculenta (cassava). RNAcentral's name for it is "long non-coding RNA (MESC_LNC008700)". Lineage: Eukaryota; Viridiplantae; Streptophyta; Magnoliopsida; Malpighiales; Euphorbiaceae. The record is from RNAcentral.
UAAGAAAUUUUAUUUGAAAUCCCAGCUUUUUUUCUACCGUUCAUUCCAAAUGAUUCCUUAGACUGAUUGCCGCUUGCUUCUACAUUGUCAGUGUGAUUGAUAUCACUCGGUUCCAUAGAAGCCGAGCAUAGGAACUCUAGAUUUCUCAGGCGAGUGAGUCGAAGUAGGAGAAGCACCAAGACCGAGCAGAUCUGAAGGCGGCAACACCGGUGGUGAAGCCAUUGGUGAAUUUGUGGGAGGAGGGAGAUCCAUGUCCGGUGAAGGAGAAGCAGCAGAAAGCAAUAGUGAACCGAUAGGUAAUUGAGGAGACGAACUCGAGGACAAAUUUGAUUCCAAUGGUGGUGUUGCAGAGAGGGCAACUUGUAGAGAAAAGAA